Molecule: ribosomal RNA, 501 nt
Filed under: anaerobic bacterium B162
Lineage: Bacteria
Description: bacterial SSU rRNA
Rfam family: Bacterial small subunit ribosomal RNA
Source: RNAcentral
GGGCGUAAAGCGCGUCUAGGCGGUUUAGUAAGUCUGAUGUGAAAAUGCGGGGCUCAACCCCGUAUUGCGUUGGAAACUGCNAAACUAGAGUACUGGAGAGGUAGGCGGAACUACAAGUGUAGAGGUGAAAUUCGUAGAUAUUUGUAGGAAUGCCGAUGGGGAAGCCAGCCUACUGGACAGAUACUGACGCUAAAGCGCGAAAGCGUGGGUAGCAAACAGGAUUAGAUACCCUGGUAGUCCACGCCGUAAACGAUGAUUACUAGGUGUUGGGGGUCGAACCUCAGCGCCCAAGCUAACGCGAUAAGUAAUCCGCCUGGGGAGUACGUACGCAAGUAUGAAACUCAAAGGAAUUGACGGGGACCCGCACAAGCGGUGGAGCAUGUGGUUUAAUUCGACGCAACGCGAGGAACCUUACCAGCGUUUGACAUCCCAAGAAGUUAACAGAGAUGUUUUCGUGCCUCUUCGGAGGAACUUGGUGACAGGUGGUGCAUGGCUGUCGUC